AGACGGGUAGAGUAACACGUGGGUAACCUACCUCAGAGACUGGGAUAACAAUUAGAAAUGAUUGCGUAAUACCGGAUGAUUCAUAAUUAGAUAACUAGUUAUGCUAAAAGAAGCGUUUGCUUCACUUUGAGAUGGGCUUGCGUUGUAUUAGUUAGUGGUGGGUAAUGGCCUACCAAGACAACGAUGCAUAUCCGAGCUGAGAGGCUGAUCGGACACACUGGGACUGAGACACGGCCCAGACUCCUACGGGAGACAGCAGUUAGGAAUAUUCGUCAAUGGGGGAAACCCUGAACGAGCAAUGCCGCGUGAAGUGAUGAAGGUCUUAUAGAUUGUAAAACUCUGUUGUAAAGAAAGAAACCUUAAGAUAGGAAAUGAUCUUAAGCUGACGGUACUUUACCAGAAAGCCCCGGCUAACUACGUGCCAGCCGCCGC
RNAcentral lists this ribosomal RNA (432 nucleotides) under uncultured bacterium. Its description in RNAcentral is "bacterial SSU rRNA". It matches the Rfam family "Bacterial small subunit ribosomal RNA", at positions 100 to 518 of the family's 1533-position model. The record is from RNAcentral.